AGCGAACGUUAGCGGCGCGCUUAACACAUGCAAGUCGCACGAGAAAGGGCUUCGGCCCCAGUAAAGUGGCGCACGGGUGCGUAACACGUAGGCAAUCUUCCCUUGAGCGGGGGAUAACGUUUCGAAAGAGACGCUAAUACCGCAUAAGACCACGACCGGUUCGCCGGUUGCGGUCAAAGCUGGCCUCUUCAUGAAAGCUAGCACUUAAGGACGAGCCUGCGGCCCAUCAUGCUAGUUGGUAGGGUAACGGCCUACCAAGGCGAAGACGGGUAGCUGGUCUGAGAGGAUGAUCAGCCACACUGGAACUGAAACACGGUCCAGACUCCUACGGGAGGCAGCAGUGGGGAAUAUUGGACAAUGGGCGAAAGCCUGAUCCAGCGACGCCGCGUGAGUGAUGAAGGCCUGGUUGUAAG
Molecule: ribosomal RNA, 413 nt
Filed under: uncultured bacterium
Lineage: Bacteria
Description: bacterial SSU rRNA
Rfam family: Bacterial small subunit ribosomal RNA
Source: RNAcentral